This 433-nucleotide ribosomal RNA is filed under the name uncultured bacterium. RNAcentral's name for it is "partial 16S ribosomal RNA". It matches the Rfam family "Bacterial small subunit ribosomal RNA", at positions 29 to 507 of the family's 1533-position model. The record is from RNAcentral.
AACGAACGCUGGCGGCAUGCCUAACACAUGCAAGUCGAACGAGAACUUCGGGUCUAGUGGCGCACGGGUGCGUAACGCGUGGGAACCUGCCCUUAGGUUCGGAAUAACUCCCCGAAGGGGGUGCUAAUACCGGAUAAUGUCUUCGGACCAAAGAUUUAUCGCCUUUGGAUGGGCCCGCGUUGGAUUAGCUAGUUGGUAGGGUAAAAGCCUACCAAGGCGACGAUCCAUAGCUGGUCUGAGAGGAUGAUCAGCCGCACUGGGACUGAGACACGGCCCAGACUCCUACGGGAGGGAGCAGUGGGGAAUAUUGGACAAUGGGCGAAAGCCUGAUCCAGCAAUGCCGCGUGAGUGAUGAAGGCCUUAGGGUUGUAAAGCUCUUUUACCCGGGAUGAUAAUGACAGUACCGGGAGAAUAAGCACCGGCUAACUCCGUG